Molecule: long non-coding RNA, 234 nt
Filed under: Lathyrus oleraceus (garden pea)
Lineage: Eukaryota; Viridiplantae; Streptophyta; Magnoliopsida; Fabales; Fabaceae
Description: Pisum sativum (pea) long non-coding RNA (PSAT_LNC037826)
Source: RNAcentral
UUGAUCCUGCUAAAAAAAAACAAAAAAAAACAACAAAAAAUGCCUGAACCGAGAAUGGAAAUAGAGGUUCGUGGUCUCCUGGGUAGAUUGAACUACGUGUCAUGGUUCAUAUCUCACCUAACAGCCACGUGGGAACCCAUUCAAGAAAAAGAGAUCAAACGGUCAGGUGAAAUAAUGAUUGCCAAGGGGCAUUGAAAAAAUAAAAAGAUUGAGUUGCAGGAACCUCCGAUUCUG